Molecule: ribosomal RNA, 254 nt
Filed under: uncultured bacterium
Lineage: Bacteria
Description: partial 16S ribosomal RNA
Rfam family: Bacterial small subunit ribosomal RNA
Source: RNAcentral
UACGUAGGGUGCAAGCUGUUAUCCGGAAUUAUUGGGCGUAAAGAGCUCGUAGGCGGUUUGUCGCGUCUGCUGUGAAAACUGGAGGCUCAACCUCCAGCCUGCAGUGGGUACGGGCAGACUAGAGUGCGGUAGGGGAGAUUGGAAUUCCUGGUGUAGCGGUGGAAUGCGCAGAUAUCAGGAGGAACACCGAUGGCGAAGGCAGAUCUCUGGGCCGUAACUGACGCUGAGGAGCGAAAGCGUGGGGAGCGAACAGG